Helianthus annuus (common sunflower) is the source of this 357-nucleotide long non-coding RNA. RefSeq lists it as uncharacterized. The transcript is spliced from 3 exons. The record is from RefSeq and is a predicted model, not a curated record. Lineage: Eukaryota; Viridiplantae; Streptophyta; Magnoliopsida; Asterales; Asteraceae.
CGAUGUCCAGGAAGAAGAAAAAGGGUUCAAACCCUAGUCUCUCUAAAAUCUUCAAAUUGGAAGGCUAAAUGAAGCUUAAAUUCAUAACCGAGCCUGGAUUAAUGAUCACCUUCACAAGGGGAUCAUAAGUAUAGGGAUCAUGUCAAGAUAGAUGGAAGCAUGGAAGGUUAACGGGUAAAAAGGAGGCGAGGAAACGGAUGCGAAUACGAACACUUAAGGUUAGUCAGAUAUUCAUGAUGGACAAGUGAACGAGGGUCGAGUUAAAGAUCAUGGAUUGUACGGGAAAGUGGUCACGUUGUUUGUAAUUAUUUGUUAACAUAGUUACAUUAAAUAAAUGAUGAAUGAUGUAUUUAUGUU